Molecule: non-coding RNA, 46 nt
Filed under: Trichobilharzia regenti
Lineage: Eukaryota; Metazoa; Platyhelminthes; Trematoda; Strigeidida; Schistosomatidae
Source: RNAcentral
GUACAGUUGAAGAGUCCCAGAUUAAGACGAAACAGUUGUCCAGUAC